Molecule: ribosomal RNA, 493 nt
Filed under: uncultured bacterium
Lineage: Bacteria
Description: bacterial SSU rRNA
Rfam family: Bacterial small subunit ribosomal RNA
Source: RNAcentral
GACGAACGCUGGCGGCGUGCUUAACACAUGCAAGUCGAGCGGUAAGGCCCUUCGGGGUACACGAGCGGCGAACGGGUGAGUAACACGUGGGUGACCUGCCCUCCACUUCGGGAUAAGCCUGGGAAACUGGGUCUAAUACCGGAUAGGACCUUCCGGUGCAUGCUGGUUGGUGGAAAGUUUUUCGGUGGGGGAUGGGCCCGCGGUCUAUCAGCUUGUUGGUGGGGUGAUGGCCUACCAAGGCGACGACGGAUAGCCGGCCUGAGAGGGUGAUCGGCCACACUGGGACUGAGACACGGCCCAGACUCCUACGGGAGGCAGCAGUGGGGAAUCUUGCGCAAUGGGCGAAAGCCUGACGCAGCAACGCCGCGUGAGGGAUGACGGCCUUCGGGUUGUAAACCUCUUUCGCGAUCGACGAAGGUCCAUCUUGUGGAUGGGCUGACGGUAGGUCGAGAAGAAGCACCGGCCAACUACGUGCCAGCAGCCGCCGUAACAC